Oryctolagus cuniculus (rabbit) is the source of this 7509-nucleotide non-coding RNA. The record is from RefSeq and is a predicted model, not a curated record. NCBI's taxonomy places the organism in Eukaryota, Metazoa, Chordata, Mammalia, Lagomorpha, Leporidae.
CCCUACAAGGAAAACAAAGAAAAAACCCUACAAGGUUUUCAGAGUGCCAGACCUGCAGCAAAAAAUAGAGACUUUGCUUGGAGCCAAGAAAUAAUAGUGUAUUAACUAACUAUAACAAGCAACAAAUUAGGGAUAACAAUACCUUCUUUGAGAGUCAGAUUAGAUGAGAUAUGCAAAGGUCCUUACAGAUCUGCUCUGCAUGGAAAAGUAACAUUGAGGAAAGCUACAGAAAGUGCCAACUGGUCUGGCACUAGAGUGUUUAGGAUUACAAUGUUUUUAGCCACUAUCAAGUGUGUAAGACAGCCUUAGCUCAAAAUUUGCAACCAGAGUGGGAGAUGUCCAACAUGCUGACUAUAAUGACUGCAUACAUGAGUGUCACUUCUGACAUACAGGACAAUUUUCAUAGGCCAGAAAAUCUGUGCUGGCCCCAGAAGAGGAGAUAUAUCAGACUUGCUGCUGCUCUUCUGCUAUGCUGGAGGAAGCCAUGGUAUGCCACGACAGUGCAGGUCUGUGACAUUGCUACAACAGGCUGUAAUUAAGCACAGUUUUUUUGAUUUUUGUUGUUUACAGUGGGCUUUGGUUUUCAUGCUGACAUUUUUUCAGGGUUAUUUUUUACCACAAAGCCUCUCAAAUAUAUUAAUCUUUCCAUUUCUACUGAUGCAUUUCACAGAAACAAGUUCUGUGUUAACAUGUGAGUUAACUCACAAGAACUUGCUGCACAGCUGUCAAUUAUCUUAAAGAAUCCAUGAAUGGCAGGUGCCAUGGCUCAAUAGGCUAAUCCUCCACCUGCGGCACCGGCACACUGGGUUCUUGUCCCGGUCAGGGCGCCAGAUUCUGUCCUGGUUGCCCCUCUUCCAGGCCAGCUCUUUGCUGUGGCCCGGGAGUGCAGUGGAGGAUGGCCCAAGUCCUUGGGCCCUGCACCCACAUGGGAGACUAGGAGAAGCACCUGGCUCCUGGUUUUGGAUCAGUGCAGUGUGCUGGCUGCAGCAUGCCAGCUGCAGUGGCCAUUGGAGGGUGAACCAAUGGAAAAGGAAGACCUUUCUCUCUCUCACUGUCCACUCUGCCUGUCAAAAAAAUCCAUGAACAAUUUUAUUUUGUUUUUCAAAGAAACAUGCAUUUUGUAUUCCAUGCAAUGUUCAUUACUACAAAUUAUAUUGAUUCACUCAUUCCACAAAUAAUAGCUGAGGGCAUACCAUGAACCCAACCCAAGGUUAGGUGAUCAAUUGAAAGUCAUUGUCCUUGGCUCCAUGGAGAUUAUAACCUUUUGAGAGAGGCAGGAGAUAAACACAGAAACACACAAACAGAAAUCUAUUCUUUGAGCAAGCUGUUAUGAGAAGAAGGUAAGGCACCUAGAAACCUAAGUUAAAGGGAUCUCUUAAGGAAGUAAUAUUGGAACUAAGAUCUAAAGUAUGUGUCAAAAAAGCCAAGGACCAGUGGGUGAAUUUCUUGGCAGAGGUGAAAGUAAAGGAGAAGAUUUCAAGAUAGAAAAGAUUUUAGCACAUUGGAGAGCCAGUCAGGAGUCCAGCCUGACUGGAGUACUGUGAGAGGUCUUGAUGAAGCUGGAGAAAAGCCAGAUCAUGCAUGUGGCUGACUUUUGUUCUAAUGUCAACAGGAUGCCUUCAGAAGAUUUAAACAAUGGAGCAACAUAUUCCACUUUGGCUUAUGUGUAAAGAACAGAUGAGGGGCAGAAGUAGAUAGAGGUGGUUAAGAAGCUACUGCAAUACUCCAAGCUCCUUAGGGGUAGAUAUUCAUAUAAAGAGAAAUGCUAAUGCUGUCAAUUGGGGGCAGAGUGGAAAGCAUAAAUGGAAUUGUAUUUGAGGUCCCUUUUGAAUUUGUACUCUGUAAGACUUGAUUAUUGAUUAUAUUUAGAGGAUAAUCCUGGCUUCCUGGCUUGAGCAACUGGGUGAGUGUAAGAGGAAUUUCCCAGAAGAAAGGAUUUUGACAAGAGGGAAAAAAAUGAAGGAGAAGGCAAAAUGAUGCCAGGAGUAAAAGCUGUUGAACAAUCAACCAACCUAAAAGAACUUCACUCACACACCCAAAGGAACUCACACACCAGAAAUUAUUGGUGAGUAACUGAUUUGUGGAAGACCAUCUCUCUUUGCUAAAGUCUGAAAUUUCUGCUAGCAACAGCUUGAAGUAGGGCCAUACGUUUUUCCUAUAAACUUACCUAGGUUAAUAUACUGCCAUUUAAAAAUAGUUAAUGACUCCUGCUUUUUAAAAUGGGGGGGGGCUGGAAAUCUCUAGGAACAGUUGUAAGGUUUCAAGGCAUAUGUCAACUAAUCCUUUGGUGUCAACUUGCUCAGUACAAAGUCAUUGUUGUAAUAACUUAGAGGAGAGACUCUACUGUAGAUGAUUUGUAAUUUUUUAGAGGUCAUGCUGACUUUGAAAACAUUAGACUCAAGAUUAGAAGCCAGGGAGAAGUAAGAGUUGAAUUGUUGCAUGAACUGGGACAAACAGAAUUAUUCAGACAAACGAUCCACUAAGUUCAGUAUUUUCAUCUGGCUGUCCAUACUUCUCAGUCAUUGAAAUGUUGUUCCAUGCUUUACAUUGUGCUGUUUGGAUAUGGUUAGAUGCUUUGUAACAAACUGUCUGGAAUUUAGGUAGAUCAAUAAGAUCAUAAUUUCAGGUGUCCUUCAAUAGUGUUCACUGUGGACUCUGAAAUGAUGAAGGAAAGCUUUCUACUGUAAUAACUGCAAAGAAAAAUGUUUAAAAAUUAUAACUUAAUUUCUGUGGUAUUUUCCAGUAUUCUAAUAUCAGAUCAAGUCAUUAAUGCCUACUGGGAAAGGGCUUUAAAUGUAGAAAUCUUCAGUUAAGGAACUUGACCAUAGAGUGGCUCCUAACGCUUUAUUUUCUUUCUUUUUUUUUCUUUCUUUCUUUUUUGACAGGCAGAGUUAAUGAGAGAGCAAGACAGAGAGAAAGAUCUUCCUUCCAUUGGUUCGCCCCUCAAAUGGCCGCUAUGGCUGGUGUGCUGAGCCAAUCUGAAGCCAGGAGCCAGGUGCUUCCUCCUGGUCUCCCAUGCAGGUGCAGGGCCCAAAGACUUGGGCCAUCCUACACUGCCUUCCUGGGCCACAACAGAGAGCUAGACUGGAAGAGAAGCAACCAGGACAGAAUCUGGUGCCCCAACUGGGACUAGAACCUGGGGUACCAGCACCGCAGGUGGAUUAUCCUAGUGAGCCACAGUGCCAGCUUUAUUUUCAAUAUAUCUGGGACUUAGUAUAAAUUAUUUGUCACAUAAAAAUCCUAGCCAAUGAUUUUACCUGCAGAGGAAAAGUGGGUAGAGGGGCUGGUGCUGUGGCUGGCCUGAAGCACUGGUUCUAGUCUUGGCUGCUCCUCUUCUGAUCCAGCUCUCUGCUAUAGCCUGGGAAAGCAGUGGAAGAUGGCCCAAGUCCUUGGGCCAAUGCACCCACAUGAAAGACCUGGAAGAAGUUCCUGGCUCCUGGCUUCAGAUGGCGCAGCUCUGGCUGCUGCAGCCAACUGGGGAGUGAACCAGCAGAUGGAAGACCUCUCUGACUCUACCUCUCUCUGUAACUCUGUCUUUCAAACAAAUAAAAUAAAUCUUUUAAAAAAAAACGGAGGGUAGAGGCUGGUGAGAGGUUGGCCUUUGAUGGAUCAAAGACUUGUUUGUGGUGAUUCUAAGCAAACUCCAGGACUCAGUGGGUGGGGCUUGAGUUUUGACUCCCCUCCUACUGCCACCAAAUUUCUAGGCAUGUGAUCCUAAGUCACUUGACAUCAACACACUGUGCCUCAGUUGCCUCAACAAUAAUAGGAGAUAAUAAUCUCCCCAUUCCUAGGAUAUUGUAUAGAGUCACUGAGCAAGUAUUUAUCAAGAAGUUAUGACUGCUACAUGAGUAUGAGCCAAGUGCUCUGGGAAAACUGUGUAAGAGGUGGUGCUUCUUUGUGUUUUAGCAAAGAUGAACCACAGGAAGAUGUGGUGACUUGAUAAAUGAGGCACCCUAUAAGCAAAUAUUUGUACAUAAUUCUUUAUAAAAUCAUCCCUGGGUUGUGUUAGAACCCAAACAUAAAGAAUAUGGAAAGGCAUAUUUUGUAAAGAGUUCAUAAUAUUUGAAUCCUUUGGACUCUAUCGGUUUUAACAUAGAUAUGAACAAUGCAUUCAGGAUGUUUAUCCCAUUUAAGUAUUGUUUAACAAACUUGGAGAAGCAAUAUAUGGUGACUUUUGUAUUUUUAAAAUUAAUUUUACAUUUUCCAGGAAUCUACUGAAUGCAGAUCACUUUGCAAGGCUUAUGGAAAAGAUUGCAAAAAUCUUAAAACAUGAUUGUGCUUAAAUAGCUUAUAUUCUUAUGGGAGAGGCAAAGAUACAUUCAGAACCUAGAUCAUCCAAGAUUGGUGGUGGCAGUGUUGGAUACAACUAAAAAUAAAGCUUUCUUAGUCUGUGGUUACAAAAUAUAGCACUGGAGUAAUUAUAGCUUACAAACCAAUUUUAAAUUUUAUUUAUUUAUUUACUUCUUUGAGAGACAGAGGCAAACACAGAUGUUGCCAUCCACCCAUUCAUUCCACAAAUGCCCACAACAGCCAGGUCUGGGCCAGGACAAAGCCAGGAAGUGGAAACUUCAAUUAAGUCUCCCAUGUGGGUGACAAGCCCUUGAGCCACUACCUGCUACCUCCCAGGGCACACAUCAGCAGGAAGCUGGAAAAGGGAGCAGAGCUAGAACCAAAACCCAAGGCCUACAAUAUGGGAUGGGAGUAUCCCAAGUACUGUCUUAACUGUUGCCAAGUGCCCCCUCUAUCCCCACCCCACAAUCAGCUGCUUUUAUUUUUUUUCCCAAGAGUGAGAAAUAGCAAAGCCUCCUGGGGCCUGGGUAGAAGAGCAGAUCUUACAGAAGAAGCUGCUUUGAAUUCCAGCUGAUGGUGUGGCAGUACUAAAGCAUCUAGUUGGCUGGUCUUGAAAAGUAGGAUAAAUAACAGCACUGUUUCUUUGGUGUAUGCUUUGAGUUUCAGAGGUUUAUGGUUUUCCAGCUCUUGUCUCUACUGUUGAGGAACAGUUUUGUUAUUGUUGCUGUUGUUAUUUUCAUGCAAAUUGUUGAACUCUUCACUUGGUAUAGAGUUGGUCUUCUGUGUAUAAAGUUAAUCAAAAGUGGAUCUUAGUGGAGAAUGGGAGUGGGGGUGGGAGAGGGAGGAGGAAGAGGGCUGGGAGAGUGGGUGGGAAGCUGGCUAUGGUAGGGAGAAUCACUGUAUUGCUAGAGUUGUACUUGUGAAGUUAUGAAGAUUGUGUUCCUUAAAUAAAAGGUUUCUUGGGAGGGGGAAUAAACAAAGACAUAAUAAUUUUUUUAAAAGUUUAUUGUUUUCUAAGAGUUAUGAGAUUAUGCAAGUGAAUAAAUAAAUAAAUACAUGUCUGAGUAUCUCACUUCCCAUUUAAAACACUUUAAUGUCCUUCAGGACAAAGCCAAGUCUUCAGCAAAGCAGGUACCCUGUCAGCUGUAAUGAGGAUAUGCUUUCAGCUGCAAGCAGCAGGCCAUGUAAUCAACAGCAGCUUCAACAGGCACUUCCCAAGCCCCAGUGUAGCUGCCAACCACUAGGGCUUCUUAUUAAAAUGCACAUUUGGUUGGAGACCUGGGUAGGGUGGACUUGAAAUUCUACAUUUCUGACAAGCCUGCAGGUGAUACUCAUUCUAUUAGUCUAAGGCCUACACCUUCCAAAAUAGCAAGAGCUUAAAACAGUACCAUUUUCUCCCCUUUGCAUACUAAGAAAUCUGAAAGUUGGCCAGACUUGAUUCAGAAAAUCAGCUGUGUCACUAGCCUGGGACUGUCCAAUCAGAGAUCAGGGAAUGGCAAAUGACACCUUCCAGGCUCAAUCUAGUUCAACACCUUUUUAUUUUAUUUAUUUAUUUGAAAUAAAGCUCUCUUGGAACACAGCAGAGCUCGUUGCUCCUUUGUUGCCCAUGGCUAUUCUCCUGCUGGAACUGCAGAGUUGGGACAGAGUCCACUAUUUCCACAAAGCCUAAAGGGCCCAUGUUCAUCGAACCCUUGCAAAAAAGCGUUUGCUGACUCCCAGCUUAGAUGUCACUUUUGGCUCUGGAUCUGGCAUAUGUCCUGUCCAAACUCAGAGAGGACUCUGCUGACACGGGGGAAAGGGAGGAAAUGGCCAAGUCAGUGAGGCACCUCCUCUCCCUCACAUCCUGCUGUCCUCUCACCUGUGACUCAUCCUUUAGCCAUGGCAACUAUGGCAGCUCCCCGAAGGCAUCGUGCUUCACUGUGGCUCCAGAAUAUGCCAAGCGUGUUUUGAGUACAAUGAAAUCACUGGAGCUGACUGUGUGCAAAAAGCAAUGGGAGAGCCCACAGGCCAGGACGAUAAGGCAGGAUGGCUGGGAAGAUGGCAUCAGGUGCCAAGUUUUCUUUAAAUGUCAGGAAAGAAGAUGAGACAGCAUUCUGAGAAGGAUCAAGAUGCACCCUGCAAAACAUUUGGAUGGAAAGGUAGAGGAGGGAGCCACAAGGUGAUUAUGCAAAGACUUGAAUUAGCAGCCCUGCUCAGCAGGAGCUGGCUCUCCAAGACAGAAAGAGAUAAGGCCUAAAGAUGCGAAUGCAAGCACUGCAAAGAUCUACAAUAAUUCUGGCUUGAUUUACUUGGCUUAUGAAGGUCAUCUACUCAUGUGCCAUUGAUAGAAGACUGCUUGUGCCACAAGGCUAGCCCUCAGUUGGCUCUGGAGUUUCCUUUCUUGCCGGCUCUGUUUUCCAGUAAAAUAACCCUGGCCCAGUGCCUUUGCUUAUCUGUAUUUUUGAAUCAAUAAAUAUUUACUCCAUGUUGGCAUACAUGGCCUUGAGCUUGGUGUGGACAUGAACAAAAAUGAAUGAGGCUUGGACUUUGCCCUUAACUGUUGAACCCACCAAGAACUAGUGGUUAAGCAGUGAACUCAGAAAAACCUGGGAUACAAUUCCAGAUUUUCCACCUACCAGCUUGGACAAGUUAUUUCAAUUUUCUAAGUUCUAUUAUUUCCCCACUAAUGAGCACAAUAAUAAUAUCCAUCUCAUAGGUUCCUUAUGAGGAUUAGUUAGAGCAACAUACAGUGGGCAGAAAGCAUACAAUAUAAUUUUUAAAUUUUUUUUAUUUUUUAAAAUUUUUUGACAGGCAGAGUGGACAGUGAGAGACAUAGAUGGAAAGGUCUUCCUUUUCUGUUGGCUCACCCCCCACAAGGGCUGCUGUGGCUCUCACACCGCGCUGAUCCGAAGCCAGGAGCCAGGUACUUCUCCUGGUCUCCAUUGCAGGUGCAGGACCCAAGGACUUGGGCCAUCCUCCACUGCCCUCCAGGGCCACAGCAGAGAGCUGGACAGGAAGAGCAGUGACCGGGACAGAAUCCAGCAACCCGACAGAAAACAUACAAUAUAAUUUAAACUUACUAUUAUUUCUAUUAUUAUUAUUUCCAUAGGGAAGAGGAUGCUUAUAAUUUUCCUUCUGAAUUCUUCUUCCCAUAUGUUUUUUUUUCAUUCUGCCUGAUAACUGCACAAGAAUCUCCAGUUUUCUUUUAAGAGCAGAGGGAAAAACACUCUGAAAAAGAUC